CUCUACAAAUGAAAAUUUAGAACAGUUUACAAGUGAAAAUCCCUUUAUAUCUCGUGAAAUAGAGGAGAACGAAAAAGAACAGAUGCAAGACAAAACAAGCCUCUCCUCGAUAGUCAAAAGUACCAAGUUUGUAAUGCACACAUGUUUUGUUUCCAUCGCCCAUUUACGCUGCUUUUCUGUUAUUGGAAUGAUCAACUCCUUGUUGAAACGUUUGGCCCAUGAUUUUUAUGAAGUCGAUUACUAUCUCA
Long non-coding RNA from Dendronephthya gigantea, 248 nucleotides. RefSeq lists it as uncharacterized. The record is from RefSeq and is a predicted model, not a curated record. The transcript has 3 exons. NCBI's taxonomy places the organism in Eukaryota, Metazoa, Cnidaria, Anthozoa, Malacalcyonacea, Nephtheidae.